RNAcentral lists this ribosomal RNA (496 nucleotides) under uncultured bacterium. Its description in RNAcentral is "bacterial SSU rRNA". It matches the Rfam family "Bacterial small subunit ribosomal RNA", at positions 16 to 507 of the family's 1533-position model. The record is from RNAcentral.
AUCAUGGCUCAGAUUGAACGCUGGCGGCAUGCUUUACACAUGCAAGUCGAACGGUAACAGGUCUUCGGAUGCUGACGAGUGGCGAACGGGUGAGUAAUGUAUCGGAACGUGCCCAGUAGUGGGGGAUAACUACUCGAAAGAGUGGCUAAUACCGCAUGAGAACUGAGGUUGAAAGCGGGGGACCUUCGGGCCUCGCGCUACUGGAGCGGCCGAUAUCAGAUUAGGUAGUUGGUGGGGUAAAGGCCUACCAAGCCGACGAUCUGUUAGGCUGGUCUGAGAGGACGACCAGCCACACUGGGACUGAGACACGGCCCAGACUCCUACGGGAGGCAGCAGUGGGGAAUUUUGGACAAUGGACGCAAGUCUGAUCCAGCAAUGCCGCGUGCAGGACGAAGGCCUUCGGGUUGUAAACUGCUUUUGUACAGAACGAAAAGGCUCUGGUUAAUACCUGGGGCUCAUGACGGUACUGUAAGAAUAAGCACCGGCUAACUACGUG